RNAcentral lists this ribosomal RNA (441 nucleotides) under uncultured bacterium. Its description in RNAcentral is "partial 16S ribosomal RNA". It matches the Rfam family "Bacterial small subunit ribosomal RNA", at positions 338 to 795 of the family's 1533-position model. The record is from RNAcentral.
CCUACGGGGGGCAGCAGUGGGGAAUAUUGCACAAUGGGGGAAACCCUGAUGCAGCGACGCCGCGUGAGUGAAGAAGUAUUUCGGUAUGUAAAGCUCUAUCAGCAGGAACGAGACAAGACGGUACCUGACCAAGAAGCCCCGGCCAACUACGUGCCAGCAGCCGCGGUAAUACGGAGGGGGCAAGCGGUAUCCGGAAUCACUGGGUGUAAAGGGAGCGUAGACGGCUGAGCAAGCCUGAAGUGAAAGGCGGGGGCCCAACCCCCGGACUGCCUUGGAAACUGUACGGCUGGAGUGCAGGAGAGGUAAGUGGAAUUCCUGGUGUAGCGGUGAAAUGCGUAGAUAUUAGGAGGAACACCAGUGGCGAAGGCGGCUUACUGGACUGUAACUGACGUUGAGGCUCGAAAGCGUGGGGAGCAAACAGGAUUAGAUACCCGUGUAGUC